This 257-nucleotide ribosomal RNA is filed under the name uncultured bacterium. Its description in RNAcentral is "partial 16S ribosomal RNA". It matches the Rfam family "Bacterial small subunit ribosomal RNA", at positions 524 to 776 of the family's 1533-position model. The record is from RNAcentral.
UACGUAGGGCGCAAGCGUUGUCCGGAAUUAUUGGGCGUAAAGAGCUCGUAGGCGGCUUGUCACGUCGGGUGUGAAAGCCCGGGGCUUAACCCCCGGGUCUGCAUUCGAUACGGGGCUAGCUAGAGUGUGGUAGGGGAGGAUCGGAAUUCCUGGUGUAGCGGUGAAAAUGCGCAGAUAUCAGGAGGAACACCGGUGGCGAAGGCGGAUCUCUGGGCCAUUACUGACGCUGAGGAGCGAAAGCGUGGGGAGCGAACAGG